CCUACGGGAGGCAGCAGUGGGGGAUAUUGCACAAUGGGGGAAACCCUGAUGCAGCGACGCCGCGUGUGGGAAGACGGUCCUCUGGAUUGUAAACCACUGUCCCCAGGGACGAAGAUGACGGUACCUGGGGAGGAAGCUCCGGCUAACUACGUGCCAGCAGCCGCGGUAAUACGUAGGGAGCGAGCGUUGUCCGGAAUUACUGGGUGGAAAGGGGGCGUAGGCGGGACUGCAAGUUGGGUGUCAAAUCUACCGGCUCAACCGGUAGCCGCACUCAAAACUGCAGUUCUUGAGUGAAGUAGAGGCAGGCGGAAUUCCUAGUGUAGCGGUGAAAUGCGUAGAUAUUAGGAGGAACACCAGUGGCGAAGGCGGCCUGCUGGGCUUUUACUGACGCUGAGGCUCGAAAGUGUGGGGAGCAAACAGGAUUAGAUACCCCAGUAGUC
RNAcentral lists this ribosomal RNA (440 nucleotides) under uncultured bacterium. RNAcentral's name for it is "partial 16S ribosomal RNA". It matches the Rfam family "Bacterial small subunit ribosomal RNA", at positions 338 to 795 of the family's 1533-position model. The record is from RNAcentral.